GUGCCCUUCGAGGCGUGGCUUCCGGAGCUAACGCGUUAAGUCGACCGCCUGGGGAGUACGGCCGCAAGGUUAAAACUCAAAUGAAUUGACGGGGGCCCGCACAAGCGGUGGAGCAUGUGGUUUAAUUCGAUGCAACGCGAAGAACCUUACCUACUCUUGACAUCCAGAGAACUUACCAGAGAUGCAUUGGUGCCUUCGGGAACUCUGAGACAGGUGCUGCAUGGCUGUCGUCAGCUCGUGUUGUGAAAUGUUGGGUUAAGUCCCGCAACGAGCGCAACCCUUAUCCUUUGUUGCCAGCGGUUAGGCCGGGAACUCAAAGGAGACUGCCAGUGAUAAACUGGAGGAAGGUGGGGAUGACGUCAAGUCAUCAUGGCCCUUACGAGUAGGGCUACACACGUGCUACAAUGGCGCAUACAAAGAGAAGCGACCUCGCGAGAGCAAGCGGACCUCAUAAAGUGCGUCGUAGUCCGGAUUGGAGUCUGCAACUCGACUCCAUGAAGUCGGAAUCGCUAGUAAUCGUGGAUCAGAAUGCCACGGUGAAUACGUUCCCGGGCCUUGUACACACCGCCCGUCACACCAUGGGAGUGGGUUGCAAAAGAAGUAGGUAGCUUAACCUUCGGGAGGGCGCUUACCACUUUGUGAUUCAUGACUGGGGUGAAGUCGUAACAAGGUAACCGUAACG
Molecule: ribosomal RNA, 682 nt
Filed under: Enterobacter hormaechei
Lineage: Bacteria; Pseudomonadati; Pseudomonadota; Gammaproteobacteria; Enterobacterales; Enterobacteriaceae
Description: bacterial SSU rRNA
Rfam family: Bacterial small subunit ribosomal RNA
Source: RNAcentral